ACCUCAAGUCAUGUGAGAGUACCCGCUGAACUUAAGCAUAUCAAUAAGCGGAGGAAAAGAAACUAACAAGGAUUCCCCUAGUAACGGCGAGUGAAGCGGGAAGAGCACAAAUUUAAAAUCUACCUGGUUUUUAGGUCGAGUUGUAAUUUGAAGAUACGUUUUUGACGUUCUGGGUUGGACUAAAUCCUUUGGGAUAAGGUAUCAUAGAGGGUGAGAAUCCCGUAUAUACCAACCGUAGGGAUGUUAUUAAAUACGUUUCUAAGAGUCGAGUUGUUUGGGAAUGCAGCUCUAAAUGGGUGGUAAAUUUCACCUAAUGCUAAAUAUAAGCGAGAGACCGAUAGCGAACAAGUACAGUGAUGGAAAGAUGAAAAGAACUUUGAAAAGAGAGUUAAAUAGUACGUGAAAUUGUUGAAAGGGAAACGAUUGAAGUCAGUCAUGCUGGUGGGAAUCAACUUAGGGGAAACUCUGGGUGCACUUCUUCGCUUGGCAGGUCAACGUCGAUUUUGGAUGUUAUAAAAUAAUUGGGGGAAGGUAGCUCCUUCGGGAGUGUUAUAGCCCUUGGUAGAUGUGAUGUCUGGGAUCGAGGAUUGCAACGGAUACCCUUCGGGGCUAACCGCCUGAUCUCUAAUUGGUGUUGGGUUACGGACAGCAUGCUGACCGUGAUCUAAUUACUGGUUAAAAGGUUAGAGCGUGUAUAAAUUCGUUAAGGACGCUGACGUAAUGGCUUUAAACGACCCGUCUUGAAACACGGACCAAGGAGUCUAACAUGUAUGCGAGUGUUAGGGUAUUAAACCCAGACGCGAAAUGAAAGUGAGUGUAGGUGGGAUCCUUUAUUGGAGCACCAUCGACCGAUCUUGAGAUUUAUCGAUAGAAUUGAGUUAGAGC
RNAcentral lists this ribosomal RNA (885 nucleotides) under Gigaspora margarita. RNAcentral's name for it is "eukaryotic LSU rRNA". It matches the Rfam family "Eukaryotic large subunit ribosomal RNA", at positions 1 to 801 of the family's 3401-position model. Lineage: Eukaryota; Fungi; Glomeromycota; Glomeromycetes; Diversisporales; Gigasporaceae. The record is from RNAcentral.